RNAcentral lists this ribosomal RNA (873 nucleotides) under Triticum aestivum (bread wheat). RNAcentral's name for it is "partial small subunit ribosomal RNA". The record is from RNAcentral. Lineage: Eukaryota; Viridiplantae; Streptophyta; Magnoliopsida; Poales; Poaceae.
AUGUCUGGGGCGCCGGCCCUAGGCUUGGUGGUGGUGGCCUUCUUCUUCGUCGGAGUUGGUCGGCCGGCUGGUUGUGCACGGAGUGGGGUCGGUGGGCUUGCAUGUUCAUGGCGGCGGAGGUCGCAGUGGCCGGCGGCUUGGCCGGUCGGCGGCGGCGGAACAUGGCCGGUGGCAGCGGCAAUGUUCUGCCUGGAUCCCGGGGCGGAGGACCUGGAUGGUGGCGGGCUGGAUUACCUACACAAGUGGUGCAACCCGCCCCUUGUCCACAGGGAUGUGAAAGCCACCAACAUCCUUCUGAACGCGAGGCUGGAGGCAAAGAUUGCUGACUUCGGCUUGUCAAAGGCCUUCAACGAGAGCGACACCCACGUAUCUACGAAUACACUAGUGGGGACACCUGGUUAUGUUGACCCAGAGUACCAAGCGACAAUGCAACCAACGACUAAGAGCGACGUGUAUAGCUUUGGCAUCGUACUAUUGGAGUUAGUCACAGGGAAACCAGCCAUACUGCGGGAGACGACGCCCAUCAGCAUCAUCCAAUGGGUAAGGUUGCGGCUAGCGAGGGGCAACAUCGAGAGCGUGGUGGAUGCACGCAUGCACGGUGAUUACCAAGUCAACGGCGUGUGGAAGGCCGCCGACAUUGUGCUCAAGUGUACCGAACAAGUGUCAGUGCUGCGGCCUACCAUUACCGAUGUUGUAGUGCAGCUCCAAGAGUGCCUCGAUCUUGAGGAUUGCCACGCCAAUGGUGGCUUCUACGGCGGCAGGGGCUACGCUGUUGACCAGUCCACGGAUGUGAGCCAGGAAAGUGCUUCAUUUGAGAUGGAGCAUGAUUCUAAACUGGUGCCAACAGUGACCACCGGUCCUAUUGCACGCUAG